GGGGUGGAGCAGCUCGGUAGCUCGCUGGGCUCAUAACCCAGAGGUCGCAGGUUCAAAUCCUGUCCCCGCUA
Transfer RNA from Streptomyces sp. F-1, 71 nucleotides. It matches the Rfam family "tRNA". Rfam says of the family: Transfer RNA (tRNA) molecules are approximately 80 nucleotides in length. The record is from Rfam. Lineage: Bacteria; Bacillati; Actinomycetota; Actinomycetes; Kitasatosporales; Streptomycetaceae.